RNAcentral lists this ribosomal RNA (229 nucleotides) under uncultured bacterium. RNAcentral's name for it is "partial 16S ribosomal RNA". It matches the Rfam family "Bacterial small subunit ribosomal RNA", at positions 568 to 796 of the family's 1533-position model. The record is from RNAcentral.
UCCGUAGGCGGGCAAUUAAGUUAGAGGUGAAGUCCCACAGCUCAACUGUGGAACUGCCUUUGAUACUGGUUGUCUUGAGUUACAGUGAAGUAGAUAGAAUAUGUAGUGUAGCGGUGAAAUGCAUAGAUAUUACAUAGAAUACCGAUUGCGAAGGCAGUCUACUAACUGUAUACUGACGCUAAUGGACGAAAGCGUGGGGAGCGAACAGGAUUAGAUACCCUGGUAGUCC